RNAcentral lists this long non-coding RNA (295 nucleotides) under Phoenix dactylifera (date palm). RNAcentral describes it as "long non-coding RNA (PDAC_LNC017433)". The stretch from base 70 to 295 matches the Rfam family "Eukaryotic small subunit ribosomal RNA", at positions 1 to 228 of the family's 1831-position model. Lineage: Eukaryota; Viridiplantae; Streptophyta; Magnoliopsida; Arecales; Arecaceae. The record is from RNAcentral.
UUGUGUCCUCCCUCCGCAGGAUGGGGGGACGGCAGGGGCGGGGUUCCGGUGUCGCUGGAGGACGUGUGCUACCUGGUUGAUCCUGCCAGUAGUCAUAUGCUUGUCUCAAAGAUUAAGCCAUGCAUGUGUAAGUAUGAACUAAUUCAGACUGUGAAACUGCGAAUGGCUCAUUAAAUCAGUUAUAGUUUGUUUGAUGGUACGUGCUACUCGAAUAACCGUAGUAAUUCUAGAGCUAAUACGUGCAACAAACCACGACUUCCGGAAGGGAUGCAUUUAUUAGAUAAAAGGUCGACAC